Molecule: ribosomal RNA, 513 nt
Filed under: uncultured bacterium
Lineage: Bacteria
Description: partial 16S ribosomal RNA
Rfam family: Bacterial small subunit ribosomal RNA
Source: RNAcentral
GACGAACGCUGGCGGCGUGCUUAACACAUGCAAGUCGAACGAAAAGAGGGAAAGAGCUUGCUCUUUCCGGAAUUGAGUGGCAAACGGGUGAGUAACACGUAAACAACCUGCCUUCAGGAUGGGGACAACAGACGGAAACGACUGCUAAUACCGAAUAAGUUCCAAGAGCCGCAUGGCCCAUGGAAGAAAAGGUGGCCUCUACCUGUAAGCUAUCGCCUGAAGAGGGGUUUGCGUCUGAUUAGCUGGUUGGAGGGGUAACGGCCCACCAAGGCGACGAUCAGUAGCCGGUCUGAGAGGAGGAAAGGCCACACUGUGAAUGAGACACGGGCCAGACUCCUACGGGAGGCAGCAGUGGGGAAUCUUCCGCAAUGGGCGAGAGCCUGACGGAGCAACGCCGCGUGAGUGAUGACGGCCUUCGGGUUGUAAAACUCUGUGACCCGGGACGAAAAGGCAGAGUGCGAAGAACAAACUGCAUUGACGGUACCGGAAAAGCAAGCCACGGCUAACUACGUG